UCAUCGUGCGCUCUCUUGUUCCUUGGGCGCUCUCCUCUCUCGCCCUCUGGCUUUGCCAUGCCCUGCUCUGAAGAGACACCCGCCAUUUCACCCAGUAAGCGGCCCCGGCCUGCAAAGGAGGGCGGCAUGCAGCUCCGCUUUGCCUGGCUUUCCGAGCACGCCACGGCCCCCACCCGGGGCUCCGCGCGGGCCGCGGGCUACGACCUGUACAGUGCCUAUGAUUACACAAUACCACCUAUGGAGAAAGCUCUUGUGAAAACGGACAUUCAGAUAGCGCUCCCUUCUGGGUGUUAUGGAAGAGUAGCUCCACGGUCAGGCUUGGCUGCAAAACACUUUAUUGAUGUAGGAGCUGGUGUCAUAGAUGAAGAUUAUAGAGGAAAUGUUGGUGUUGUACUGUUUAAUUUUGGCAAAGAAAAGUUUGAAGUCAAAAACGGUGAUCGAAUUGCACAGCUCAUUUGCGAACGGAUUUUUUAUCCAGAAAUAGAAGAAGUUCAAGCUUUGGAUGACACCGAAAGGGGUUCAGGUGGUUUUGGUUCCACUGGAAAGAAUUAAAAUUUAUGCCAAGAACAGAAAACGAGAAGUCAUACCUUUUUCUUAAAAAAAAAA
RNA transcript from Cercocebus atys (sooty mangabey), 606 nucleotides. It is a transcript of the gene named deoxyuridine 5'-triphosphate nucleotidohydrolase, mitochondrial pseudogene, with no coding region annotated. The record is from RefSeq and is a predicted model, not a curated record. The transcript has a single exon. Lineage: Eukaryota; Metazoa; Chordata; Mammalia; Primates; Cercopithecidae.